Molecule: non-coding RNA, 1130 nt
Organism: Zootoca vivipara (common lizard)
Lineage: Eukaryota; Metazoa; Chordata; Lepidosauria; Squamata; Lacertidae
Source: the annotation of a RefSeq genome assembly
GGAGGAAACCAUUAGUGGUUAAGUCAGAGAGAGGAAGCCAGCCUCCUGGAAGGCAAUUUUUUUAGCACUCUGUGCUGCAGAACGCCAAGUCAAUGUAACUUACUGAUGGACUUGAUUUACUGCUGAGGAUAAAUCCUAAGCCAGGCCAGCUUCUAUUAAAUUGGAUCACCAUGAUUGCCAGGUCAACAUGUAUUAUCUUCUUGGCUGUGACUUUAAGCAACCCUGGAUGGGCUCAAGAGCUCAACCAACCAGGAUCUACUGCAGCAUUUGAAGAACAACCACACACCCUGAGCUGCAACCUCUCUUCUGAAUCAAAGGAUGUAAUCCAGUGGUACCAGCAUUUUCCAGGAGAAGGGCUUCGGUAUAUUGCUGGUGCAAUCCCAGGGAAUCCUGGUGAAGGGGCUGAUCCAAAGAGCACAGUGUACGUUGGCCAGGACAAGAAAUCCAGCACACUUGUUCUCCAUCGGGUGAAGCUGGCAGAUGCUGCUGUCUACUACUGUGCUCUGAGUGACACAGUGUGUCAGGGAGGGGCUGUUCCUGUGCAAGAACGCUUCUCAGGGCCUGAGCAGAGAAGGAGCUAAGGCAGGGAGGAGGAGGCAUGGGAGAUAAGUCAACAGAGAACAUGCAAGAGAAGCAGGCAUAGCAAUGGGGUUCACAGUGUGUAUUCUUUAUGAGCUGGGAAAUCAAAUUCCAUCAAAGCUCAAGGAGUUGAGACCAUCACCAUUCACUUAACUUUGAACCAAUCUGAAAUAUGGAGAUUUGAUGCUGAACUUACUUGCAAUGCUAGAAUGACUGAACGUUGCUCGCUGGGAGAGCAUGAAUAACGUUCCAGGUUCAAUCCCUGGAUUUCUUUCUUUCUUAUUUUCAAUCCUUAUUUCUGAAUUUUUCACAAAGAAAGAAAAACUUUACAAAUUUUAACAUAAACCAUAAAAGUUGCUUUGUCAAUUGACUUCCCAUCCUCCCCUUCCAUCGUUUCCAUAUUUACCCUUAAAUGCUGCAUAUUUCGCUAUACUGUUCAAUACAUUCAAUUUAACCAUUUUUUCUUAAUAAUUCAUGCAGUUGCUCAUAUUUCAAAUCCUGCUCACGUUUUCAUCUCACUAUAGCAGUUCUGUAAAUACUCAAUAAAAAGU